UGGGGAAUAUUGGGCAAUGGGGGAAACCCUGACCCAGCAACGCCGCGUGAAGGAAGAAGGCUUUCGGGUUGUAAACUUCUUUUAUGAGGGACGAAGGACGUGACGGUACCUCAUGAAUAAGCCACGGCUAACUACGUGCCAGCAGCCGCGGUAAUACGUAGGUGGCAAGCGUUGUCCGGAUUUACUGGGUGUAAAGGGCGCGUAGGCGGGAAGGCAAGUCAGAUGUGAAAUCCCCAGGCUUAACCUGGGAACUGCAUUUGAAACUGUUUUUCUUGAGUGAUGGAGAGGCAAGCGGAAUUCCUAGUGUAGCGGUGAAAUGCGUAGAUAUUAGGAGGAACACCAGUGGCGAAGGCGGCUUGCUGGACAUUAACUGACGCUGAUGCGCGAAAGCGUGGGGAGCAAACAGG
This 407-nucleotide ribosomal RNA is filed under the name uncultured bacterium. RNAcentral describes it as "bacterial SSU rRNA". It matches the Rfam family "Bacterial small subunit ribosomal RNA", at positions 355 to 776 of the family's 1533-position model. The record is from RNAcentral.